CCCUAAAAACGCAGCUAAUUGCAUUCCUCUCCUAAAUUGAAGUUCCCCUCAAUGGCGCGACGCGACGAAGACCGGCUCCAGUCAGCUUCUAGUUGCUGCCCUUGCUGAUGAGCUCCAGGGCGGCGGCGGUGGUGGGCAGCGCCGGGAUGGCUCCCUUCUGGGUGGUGCAGAUGGCUCCGCAGGCGUUCGAGAACUGCAGCACCUCCCUCAGCUUCGCCUCAUUCUGAAACAUCAACCAAAAAAGAUCAACAUUUUAAGUAACACAAGAUCAAACUUAACAACAACGGUGAUCGAUCACCGGAGAAGAGAAGGAAUCGAUGAGCCUUACGUGGAAGAUGGAGUCAUCCUUGGCGACAUUGAGCAGGAGAGACCCAACAAAGGCAUCACCAGCACCAGUAGUAUCAACAGUCUUAACAGAGUAGCCAGGAACAGAGCCCUUAAAAUCCUUGGUAAAAUACCUGCAGCCCUUCUCCCCAUCGGUAACAAUGAGCAGCUUGAGGCCCUCAAACCACAGCGACAACACAUUCUUCUCAUCAUUGGCAUCGCCCUGGGUCAAGAAGGCCACCUCGUCAUCACUCACCUUGAUGAAGUCGGCCUCCUUCCAGAUGCUCUUGAUCCCCUCACGGGCGGCCUCGGGGGACGGCCAGAGCGGGAGGCGGACGUUGGGGUCGUAGGAGCAGAGGAUGCCGGCGGCCUUGGCGGCGCGCAUGGCGGCCACGUGCGCCGAGCGGCAGGGCUCCGUGAUGAGCGAGAUGGAGCCGUAGUGGAAGAUGCGCGCGCGGCGGAUCAGGUCCAGGUUGAGCUCGUCGGCGGUCAGCAGCAUGUCGGCGGAAGGGUUGCGGUAGAACAUGAACUCCCGCUCGCCGUUGGACUUGAGGGUGACGAAGGCGAGAGCCGUGCGCGCGUGCUGGUCGUAGAGGCAGCCCUCCGAGUUGACCCCGUUCUGCUUCAGGAUGUCCACCAGCAUGUGCCCGAACUCGUCGUCGCCGAACUGCGAUGCAUACCAGGGGGGAAUAAAAAUUCAGUCUUUUGGUUACAAAGAAACAAUUACCAAAUGGAUGAUGAUAUGUGGUGGUAAAGUAAAUUAUUGAUGAUCGAUGAUGAUGCAUUGCUGGUUGAUUAACUUAGUUGUACUCCGAGGAGAGAAAAAAUAUCGAUCUUUUUUUAAGUAGUGCAGAAGAAAGUUUCAUUCUUGGUGUCAGGAAGAAUCAGCAGUGUUAGAUUUGGUGGUGAUGGAUCCAGAAGCUAAUAAAUCUCAAAUGACGGCAGCUGCAGGUAAUAUUAAACUAAUGAUAGCCGUGGGAUCCGAGUCAGCUGGGACCCACAGAAGAAAGCUGUGGGCGGGUGCAAGUAUCUACAUGUGAUCCGAAAGGCCAACACACGAUGAUGUCUAGUACAGCUCCCUGACACCGACAGAGCCAGACCGUCAGACUAUUAUUUUAAAAAAAUCAAUGUUUAACUCCAGAAUUAUCGAUCGGCACGGGCUAAGACCAAUAUAAUAAGAGAUAAAAUAACAGCUAUUGCAAGGGGAAAGAAACCAAAAUUAGGCGAUACAACCAAGUACUAGGGGUCAAUUUCUUUUUUUUCUUCAGAAAUAAAGGGGUGAAUUAAACAAAGCGCUCGUUUGUCUGGCGCCACCCACUCUCACUACCCGCUACCGGCUGGCAAUGAUUAUUACUCCUAGUCACCUUUUGCGACUCUGCUGAAGCAAGCAAGCUCUGCAUCCGCGGCGAGAUUUCCCUACCCAGAAAUAGAACACAUCCUAGACAGAUUUUCAUUUUCCGAUAUUCCUGUAGGUGCAUUACAUUUUGCAUAUAAAUAUAAAACCAGGAGGCCCCACAUGUCAUCGUGAAGUACAGUCUAGCAUCUCUACUUAAAAAAAGAAAAGAAAAUCAUGGCAUAUGCAUUCAGAAAAAGAAAAAACUAAUGGCACCCAUGUAAAUUACAUUUCCGGAAAGAGUCGAGUGAUCGACACGAUACCGAUCGAUAAGCUACAACGGUAUAACAAGGUCAACGCCGGAUCUCCGCCGUACGCCGACGAUCGGACGGCCGAGAGAGCACCGUCCUCCCGUCCGUCCAUGAUGAGAUCCGGCCACGAGCGCGCCAGAUCCGAGCCUACCUACCGACGCCGCCGGCUCUAACGACGGCAUCCAUCGGCAAAGACAAACCAAACCAGAUCUACCAAGAGCAAACAACCGAAGAAGAAGAACAGGUACUAGUUUGAAUGAUCCAUGUUGCUACCUUGCCGACGAAGGCGGAGGAGCCGCCGAGCUUGGAGACGGCGCAGGCGACGUUGGCGGGGGCGCCGCCGGGUGCCUUGACGAAGCCGCCCGACUCCGCCAGCGACACGCCGGCCACGUCGGGGACGAAAUCGAUCAGCAUCUCCCCGAACGACACCACCAGACCCCCCGCCGGAGCGACCGCCGCCGCCGCCGCAGGAGCGUCACCAAGAGGCGCCAUGGAAUCGAUUCGAAUCGAGCUAACCACGAACGAAACGAAGGAAGAAUCGAAUCGAAUCGAGCACGAGAGGAUUGGAAGAAAGUUGGAUGCGGAGG
This 2555-nucleotide long non-coding RNA is filed under the name Brachypodium distachyon (stiff brome). Its description in RNAcentral is "long non-coding RNA (BDIS_LNC003043)". Lineage: Eukaryota; Viridiplantae; Streptophyta; Magnoliopsida; Poales; Poaceae. The record is from RNAcentral.